Molecule: ribosomal RNA, 266 nt
Filed under: uncultured Atopobium sp.
Lineage: Bacteria; Bacillati; Actinomycetota; Coriobacteriia; Coriobacteriales; Atopobiaceae
Description: partial 16S ribosomal RNA
Rfam family: Bacterial small subunit ribosomal RNA
Source: RNAcentral
UAAAGUGGCGAACGGCUGAGUAACACGUGGGCAACCUGCCCUUUGCACUGGGAUAGCCUCGGGAAACCGAGGUUAAUACCGGAUACUCCAUAUUUGUCGCAUGGCGAAUAUGGGAAAAGCUCCGGCGGCAAAGGAUGGGCCCGCGGCCUGUUAGCUAGUUGGUGGGGUAGUGGCCUACCAAGGCAAUGAUGGGUAGCCGGGUUGAGAGACCGACCGGCCAGAUUGGGACUGAGACACGGCCCAGACUCCUACGGGAGGCAGCAGGA